RNAcentral lists this ribosomal RNA (460 nucleotides) under uncultured bacterium. Its description in RNAcentral is "partial 16S ribosomal RNA". It matches the Rfam family "Bacterial small subunit ribosomal RNA", at positions 338 to 795 of the family's 1533-position model. The record is from RNAcentral.
CCUACGGGUGGCAGCAGUGAGGAAUAUUGGUCAAUGGUCGCGAGCCUGAACCAGCCAAGUCGCGUGAGGGAUGACUGUCCUACGGGUUGUAAACUUCUUUUAUCAAGGAAUAAAGUGAGGCACGUGUGCCUUUUUGUAUGUACUUUAUGAAUAAGGAUCGGCUAACUCCGUGCCAGCAGCCGCGGUAAUACGGAGGAUCCGAGCGUUAUCCGGAUUUAUUGGGUUUAAAGGGAGCGUAGAUGGGUUGUUAAGUCAGUUGUGAAAGUUUGCGGCUCAACCGUAAAAUUGCAAUUGAAACUGGCAGCCUUGAGUACAGUUGAGGUAGGCGGAAUGCGUGGUGUAGCGGUGAAAUGCUUAGAUAUCACGAAGAACUCCGAUUGCGAAGGCAGCUUACUAACCUGCCACUGACAUUGAUGCUCGAAAGCGUGGGUAUCAAACAGGAUUAGAUACCCGAGUAGUC